UGAUGGUGUAGAUGAGACUGGGUCUAGUCAUGUUAUAGAUGAUGGUGUAGAUGAGACUGGGUCUAGUUAUGUUAUAGAUGAUGGUGUAGAUGAGACUGGGUCUAGUUAUGUUAUAGAUGAUGGUGUAGAUGAGACUGGGUCUAGUCAGGUUAUAGAUGAUGGUGUAGAUGAGACUGGGUCUAGUCAGGUUAUAGAUGAUGGUGUAGAUGAGACUGGGUCUAGUUAUGUUAUAGAUGAUGGUGUAGAUGAGACUGGGUCUAGUUAUGUUAUAGAUGAUGGUGUAGAUGAGGCUGGGUCCAGUCAUGCUAUAGAUGGAG
This is a long non-coding RNA of Oncorhynchus keta (chum salmon), 317 nucleotides long. RefSeq lists it as uncharacterized. NCBI's taxonomy places the organism in Eukaryota, Metazoa, Chordata, Actinopteri, Salmoniformes, Salmonidae. The transcript is spliced from 4 exons. The record is from RefSeq and is a predicted model, not a curated record.